CCUACGGGCGGCAGCAGUGAGGAAUAUUGGUCAAUGGACGCAAGUCUGAACCAGCCAUGCCGCGUGCAGGAAGACGGCUCUAUGAGUUGUAAACUGCUUUUGUACGAGGGUAAACGCAGAUACGUGUAUCUGUCUGAAAGUAUCGUACGAAUAAGGAGCGGCUAACUCCGUGCCAGCAGCAGCGGCAAUACGGAGGAUGCAAGCGUUAUCCGGAUUUGUUGGGUGUAAAGGGUGCGUAGGCGGUCGGAUAAGUUAGAGGUGAAAGCCCGAGGCUCAACUUCGGAAUUGCCUUUGAUACUGUGUGGCUAGAGAGUAGUUGCGGUAGGCAGAAUGUAUGGUGUAGCGGUGAAAUGCUUAGAGAU
Molecule: ribosomal RNA, 362 nt
Filed under: uncultured bacterium
Lineage: Bacteria
Description: partial 16S ribosomal RNA
Rfam family: Bacterial small subunit ribosomal RNA
Source: RNAcentral